RNAcentral lists this ribosomal RNA (253 nucleotides) under uncultured bacterium. Its description in RNAcentral is "partial 16S ribosomal RNA". It matches the Rfam family "Bacterial small subunit ribosomal RNA", at positions 524 to 776 of the family's 1533-position model. The record is from RNAcentral.
UACGGGGGGGGCAAGCGUUGUUCGGAAUUACUGGGCGUAAAGGGCGCGUAGGCGGCCAACUAAGUCGGAUGUGAAAUCCCCAGGCUUAACCUGGGAACUGCAUCCGAUACUGGAUGGCUUGAAUCCGGGAGAGGGAUGCAGAAUUCCAGGUGUAGCGGUGAAAUGCGUAGAUAUCUGGAGGAAUACCGGUGGCGAAGGCGGCAUCCUGGACCAAUAUUGACGCUGAGGAGCGAAAGCCAGGGGAGCAAACGGG